CAUGCGGCUGCACCUUCUUAUUCUUCUUCUUCUUGUUCUUCUUCCCUUUCUUAAAGGGUCGAAGACCAGAAGAAGACCCUCCCACAAUAUUCACCGACUCCUUAUAGAGCUGAUGGUCCGUCUCAAAGUUCUGCAGCAACCCCACCAAGUCAUGGUAGUUCACUGCAAGUUUUGUCAUCCAAAAAUGAGUAAGGAAGGGG
RNAcentral lists this long non-coding RNA (200 nucleotides) under Elaeis guineensis (African oil palm). RNAcentral's name for it is "long non-coding RNA (EGUI_LNC057992)". The record is from RNAcentral. Lineage: Eukaryota; Viridiplantae; Streptophyta; Magnoliopsida; Arecales; Arecaceae.